RNAcentral lists this small nuclear RNA (304 nucleotides) under Castor canadensis (American beaver). RNAcentral describes it as "7SK RNA (ENSCCNG00000013863.1)". It matches the Rfam family "7SK RNA". From Rfam's summary of the family: 7SK was discovered as an abundant small nuclear RNA in the mid-70s but a possible function has only recently been suggested. Two independent studies have found that 7SK RNA binds the CDK9/cyclin T complex (known as elongation factor P-TEFb). P-TEFb activates transcription by phosphorylating the C-terminal domain of RNA polymerase II. The record is from Rfam by way of RNAcentral. Lineage: Eukaryota; Metazoa; Chordata; Mammalia; Rodentia; Castoridae.
GGAUGUGAGGGCGAUCUGGCUGCGACAUCUGUCACCCCAUUGAUCGUCAGGGAUGAUUUGGCUGAUCUAGCUGGCUAGGCAGGUGUCCCCUUCCUCCCUCACCGCUCCAUGUUCGUCCCUCCCGAAGCUGCGCGCUUGGUCGAAGAGGACGACCAUCCCCGAUAGAGGAGGACCGUUCUUCGGUCAAGAGUAUAUGAGUAGCUGCGCUCCCCUGCUAGAACCUCCAAACAAGCUCUCAAGAAACAGAAUUAUAUACUCAACCCUGGUAAAUCCACUUUAAAGAAGCUGCCUAUUAUGCUUGCUU